CCUACGGGGGGCUGCAGUGGGGAAUUUUGGACAAUGGGGGCAACCCUGAUCCAGCCAUGCCGCGUGAGUGAAGAAGGCCUUCGGGUUGUAAAGCUCUUUCGGCCGGGAAGAAAUCGCUCAAGCUAAUACCUUGGGUGGAUGACGGUACCGGAAGAAGAAGCACCGGCUAACUACGUGCCAGCAGCCGCGGUAAUACGUAGGGUGCGAGCGUUAAUCGGAAUUAGCGGGCGUGAAGCCUGCGGACACAUCUGAGAUCCCCGGGCUUAAGCUGGGAACUGCGUUUGUGACUGUGGUGCUCGAGUGCGGCAGAGGGGGGUGGAAUUCCACGUGUAGCAGUGAAAUGCGUAGAGAUGUGGAGGAACACCGAUGGCGAAGGCAGCCCCCUGGGUCGACACUGACGCUCAUGCACGAAAGCGUGGGGAGCAAACAGGAUUAGAUACCCCAGUAGUC
Molecule: ribosomal RNA, 450 nt
Filed under: uncultured bacterium
Lineage: Bacteria
Description: partial 16S ribosomal RNA
Rfam family: Bacterial small subunit ribosomal RNA
Source: RNAcentral